RNAcentral lists this non-coding RNA (29 nucleotides) under Mus musculus (house mouse). The record is from RNAcentral. Lineage: Eukaryota; Metazoa; Chordata; Mammalia; Rodentia; Muridae.
UAUUCUGUGAGAUAGACACAAAGAACUGU